GAAGUGUACUUGACCAUAACUCUCUGGACAAGUGAUAAGCAUGAAAGUUGCGUUAUAAAAUGGGUAUUCACGAUUUAAGUACUGGUAUUAAAGUGCAAUUCAUUAAUAUUAGUCACUUUUAAUUUGUACUUUGGCGAUGCCCAAAAAAAUGGAUUCCGAUUUCUGUUCCAAAAUCUACUAAUAUAUAUGUUUUUCAACCUUUCCUUUAUUUUCGCUCUAGGAAAUAUAUCCAUAUUGA
Biomphalaria pfeifferi is the source of this 238-nucleotide non-coding RNA. Lineage: Eukaryota; Metazoa; Mollusca; Gastropoda; Planorbidae. The record is from the annotation of a GenBank genome assembly.